UGGGGAAUAUUGCACAAUGGGCGCAAGCCUGAUGCAGCCAUGCCGCGUGUAUGAAGAAGGCCUUCGGGUUGUAAAGUACUUUCAGCGGGGAGGAAGGGAGUAAAGUUAAUACCUUUGCUCAUUGACGUUACCCGCAGAAGAAGCACCGGCUAACUCCGUGCCAGCAGCCGCGGUAAUACGGAGGGUGCAAGCGUUAAUCGGAGUUACUGGGCGUAAAGCGCACGCAGGCGGUUUGUUAAGUCAGAUGUGAAAUCCCCGGGCUCAACCUGGGAACUGCAUCUGAUACUGGCAAGCUUGAGUCUCGUAGAGGGGGGUAGAAUUCCAGGUGUAGCGGUGAAAUGCGUAGAGAUCUGGAGGAAUACCGGUGGCGAAGGCGGCCCCCUGGACGAAGACUGACGCUCAGGUGCGAAAGCGUGGGGAGCAAACAGG
RNAcentral lists this ribosomal RNA (429 nucleotides) under Chloroflexota bacterium. Its description in RNAcentral is "Chloroflexi bacterium partial 16S ribosomal RNA". It matches the Rfam family "Bacterial small subunit ribosomal RNA", at positions 355 to 776 of the family's 1533-position model. The record is from RNAcentral. Lineage: Bacteria; Bacillati; Chloroflexota.